UACGUAGGGUGCAAGCGUUAAUCGGAAUUACUGGGCGUAAAGCGUGCGCAGGCGGUUUUGUAAGACAGAGGUGAAAUCCCCGGGCUCAGCCUGGGAACUGCCUUUGUGACUGCAAGGCUUGAGUGCGGCAGAGGGGGAUGGAAUUCCGCGUGUAGCAGUGAAAUGCGUAGAUAUGCGGAGGAACACCGAUGGCGAAGGCAAUCCCCUGGGCCUGCACUGACGCUCAUGCACGAAAGCGUGGGGAGCAAACAGG
This 253-nucleotide ribosomal RNA is filed under the name uncultured bacterium. Its description in RNAcentral is "partial 16S ribosomal RNA". It matches the Rfam family "Bacterial small subunit ribosomal RNA", at positions 524 to 776 of the family's 1533-position model. The record is from RNAcentral.